ACGAAAUUCUGCCAUUCCUAUUCGAAGUUGAAGGCCAAUUCCGGUCCCUAACACCCCAUAGAAUGUGAGCUCCGGUCAUUCGGGAACGGAAAUAUCCCUGAAGUCCUUAAAACUGCUCAGUGAGAGGAAUUCUCGUGGAAUGUUAAGCUCGAUUACUAUACAUACGUUACGUACAAUGACCCACCCUCGGAGUACAUAGGGAUAUUUAGGGGUUUGUUCGACUAAUGAAUCCUCCGUCAGGGCCGAAAAUCCGGAUGAAAUCCGAUGCCUUCAAACGGACUUGGUUCAAUGGGAUGUUAUACAAAUGCGAUUCGUGGUGUACAUUACAUACAUGCAUACGUAUGGAUCGUGCAUACGUGUAUACGAGCUGC
Molecule: unclassified non-coding RNA, 371 nt
Filed under: Athalia rosae (coleseed sawfly)
Lineage: Eukaryota; Metazoa; Arthropoda; Insecta; Hymenoptera; Athaliidae
Description: misc RNA ENSAEAG00005002577.1
Source: RNAcentral